Molecule: ribosomal RNA, 1959 nt
Filed under: human gut metagenome
Description: bacterial LSU rRNA
Rfam family: Bacterial large subunit ribosomal RNA
Source: RNAcentral
UUAAGUUAAUAAGGGCGCACGGUGGAUGCCUUGGCACUAGAAGCCGAUGAAGGACGUGACUAACGACGAAAUGCUUUGGGGAGUUGUAAGUAAACAUUGAUCCAGAGAUGUCCGAAUGGGGGAACCCGGCAUGUGAAGCAUGUCACUCAUUACUGUUAAGGUAAUGAAGAGGAAGACGCAGUGAACUGAAACAUCUAAGUAGCUGCAGGAAGAGAAAGCAAACGCGAUUGCCUUAGUAGCGGCGAGCGAAACGGCAAGAGGGCAAACCGAUGUGUUUACACAUCGGGGUUGUAGGACUGCGUUGUGGGACGCAAGAUUAUAGAAGAAUUACCUGGGAAGGUAAGCCAAAGAGAGUAAUAGCCUCGUAAUCGAAAUAAUCUUAAACCCUAGCAGUAUCCUGAGUACGGCGAGACACGAGAAAUCUCGUCGGAAUCCGGGAGGACCAUCUCCCAACCCUAAAUACUCUCUAGUGACCGAUAGUGAACCAGUACCGUGAGGGAAAGGUGAAAAGCACCCCGGGAGGGGAGUGAAAUAGAACCUGAAACCGUGUGCCUACAACAAGUUCGAGCCCGUUAAUGGGUGAGAGCGUGCCUUUUGUAGAAUGAACCGGCGAGUUACGAUAUGAUGCGAGGUUAAGUUGAAGAGACGGAGCCGUAGGGAAACCGAGUCUUAAUAGGGCGCAUUAGUAUCAUGUCGUAGACCCGAAACCAUGUGACCUACCCAUGAGCAGGGUGAAGGUGAGGUAAAACUCACUGGAGGCCCGAACCAGGGCACGUUGAAAAGUGCUUGGAUGACUUGUGGGUAGCGGAGAAAUUCCAAACGAACUUGGAGAUAGCUGGUUCUCUCCGAAAUAGCUUUAGGGCUAGCGUCGAUGUUAAGUCUCUUGGAGGUAGAGCACUGUUUGAUUGAGGGGUCCAUCCCGGAUUACCAAUAUCAGAUAAACUCCGAAUGCCAAUGAGAUAUAAUCGGCAGUCAGACUGCGAGUGCUAAGAUCCGUAGUCGAAAGGGAAACAGCCCAGACCACCAGCUAAGGUCCCAAAAUAUAUGUUAAGUGGAAAAGGAUGUGGGGUUGCACAGACAACUAGGAUGUUAGCUUAGAAGCAGCUAUUCAUUCAAAGAGUGCGUAAUAGCUCACUAGUCGAGUGACCCUGCGCCGAAAAUGUACCGGGGCUAAAACAUAUUACCGAAGCUGUGGAUACCUUUUAGGUAUGGUAGGAGAGCGUUCUAUGUGUGAAGAAGGUGUACCGUGAGGAGCGCUGGAACGCAUAGAAGUGAGAAUGCCGGUAUGAGUAGCGAAAGACAGGUGAGAAUCCUGUCCACCGUAAGACUAAGGUUUCCAGGGGAAGGCUCGUCCGCCCUGGGUUAGUCGGGACCUAAGGAGAGACCGAAAGGUGUAUCCGAUGGACAACAGGUUGAUAUUCCUGUACUAGAGUAUAUAGUGAUGGAGGGACGCAGUAGGCUAACUAAAGCGUGCGAUUGGAAGUGCACGUCUAAGCAGUGAGGUGUGAUAUGAGUCAAAUGCUUAUAUCUCUAACAUUGAGCUGUGAUGGGGAGCGAAGUUAAGUAGCGAAGUUAGUGAUGUCACACUGCCAAGAAAAGCUUCUAGCGUUAAUUAUACUCUACCCGUACCGCAAACCGACACAGGUAGUCGAGGCGAGUAGCCUCAGGUGAGCGAGAGAACUCUCGUUAAGGAACUCGGCAAAAUGGCCCCGUAACUUCGGGAGAAGGGGCGCUGGCUUUAAGUCAGCCGCAGUGAAUAGGCCCAAGCAACUGUUUAUCAAAAACACAGCUCUCUGCUAAAUCGUAAGAUGAUGUAUAGGGGGUGACGCCUGCCCGGUGCUGGAAGGUUAAGAGGAGCGCUUAGCGUAAGCGAAGGUGUGAAUUGAAGCCCCAGUAAACGGCGGCCGUAACUAUAACGGUCCUAAGGUAGCGAAAUUCCUUGUCGGGUAAGUUCCGACC